ACCGGCGGCUCGAGUGGUGGCCACUAUUACUGGGCUUAAAGCGUUCGUAGCUGGCUUGUUAAGUCUCUGGGGAAAUCUUCCGGCUCAACCGGAAGGCGUCUCAGGGAUACUGGCAGGCUAGGGACCGGAAGAGGUGAGAGGUACUCCAGGGAGGGGAGUGAAAUCCUGUAAUCCUUGGGGUGACGAAUGUGGCGAAGGCGUCUCACCAGGAUGACUCCGACAGUGAGGAACGAAAGCUGGGGGAGCAAACCG
Molecule: ribosomal RNA, 252 nt
Filed under: uncultured prokaryote
Description: partial 16S rRNA
Rfam family: Archaeal small subunit ribosomal RNA
Source: RNAcentral